RNAcentral lists this long non-coding RNA (1163 nucleotides) under Apteryx owenii (little spotted kiwi). RNAcentral describes it as "lncRNA (ENSAOWG00000019489.1)". Lineage: Eukaryota; Metazoa; Chordata; Aves; Apterygiformes; Apterygidae. The record is from RNAcentral.
AGGGCAGCCGUGCCGGGGCAGCCUGCCUGCUCCGAAGGCGGCGUUCCCACCGCGGUCAGAGCGGAGCCAGCGCCACGCUGCAGAUAUAAGGCCUGAGCUAGGAGCAGCUGGAACUGGCAAUGGCAUCAUUCAUGUAGGCACAGGCUCCUUGGCCGUGAACCGGGAACCUGCGGAGCAAGGAAAGGCAAUGCCAGGUUGGUCGCGAUGCCCCCGAGCGAGCCCGGCGCCCACCGGCAGCGACCCGACACGCAGCGGUACCGAGCGACCCCUCCCCGUUUCUCCGUACCACCAAUCCGCGCCGCGCCUGCUACAGGUUCCACCCCCCCGCCGCCCCGCCCAAUCACCGCCCACACCRCCUGAGUGGCAGACGGUGCAUCCAAUCACGAUGAGAGACACUUUGCACCUCCCCCCCCCCAGGGCAGCUAUAACCGUUCACUUCCGCACCAAGAGAACAGUUGAACGCGGAGCGGCACCUCGGGCUGAGACGUCCUCUGUACAAGCAGGAAGUAGUUCGGUGCUGGAAGCGUCCUGGGCUCUUYGCGGGUGACAGCGGGUCGGCGAAUUUGGGGACAGAGACGCCCUCCUGCACUUACUGCCCUGGGAUUGGAGGUACGUUGGCCGCCGAGGCAACGCGUGGGUAAGGUCAGGUCUCCCCCUUUUUGCCUUCCUCUCCCCCCCCCAGCGUGUGUUCUGCUGCAGCUCACCCGCCCGGCGCGGCUCUUGCCGGCCGCCGCCCCUCCUGCCUGCCUGCCAGCCGCCGCCCCUCCUGCCUGCCUGCCAGCCUGCUGCCAGCCGCCGCCCCUUGCUCCCUCUGUUGCUCUGCACCUGUGUCUUCUCCGCUGCCUCCUGUCAGAGCUCUUCUGCCUCCCUCCCGCCGUCCUGUCAAGUGUUUGCUCUUUCCCGGCACGCGCUGGGUGAGCGAUGGGUUUUUCUUUCCCUUCGCUGCCCCGCAGGCCUGGGGCGCCCUUCUUCCAAGAUCGGCCUGACACGAGGGUUGCGGUGGUGGGGUGGGGCCCUCUCCGGGUGCUGGGGUGGCCCUGUGGGGCAGAGCUGGGAGCGGGCCUGGAGCGGCUGAGCGCCCGGUGGUGGGGAGGGAGCUGGGCACGUCCAGGAGGUGCCGGGCUGGGAUUGGGCGAGGGCUGAUCUCUGUCCUCGCUGACCCU